RNAcentral lists this long non-coding RNA (2160 nucleotides) under Brassica napus (rape). RNAcentral describes it as "long non-coding RNA (BNAP_LNC026937)". Lineage: Eukaryota; Viridiplantae; Streptophyta; Magnoliopsida; Brassicales; Brassicaceae. The record is from RNAcentral.
AUUAAAGCCCACACCAAGGCCCAUAUUAUGAUCCAAUAUGAAGUGUUUGUUAACAAUGUAACUAGGGUUCCUUAGGACUAUAUAUAUGUUGUUAGAUGGUUAGUGUCUGUAACUUUGGCUGCGUUGAAUGCAGCCUCUCCUUUCAUAUUUAUGAAUCAUUUACAAUCUUAUUUAUCUUGGUGACAAACAUAAAGAUUCUUCCUUUCUUUAGUUUCACUGCACAAUAAAGCUUCUUAAAGCUAUUUUAUUUUCUGUGUCAAUAAGCUUUUACUAGCAGAAUCUAUCUUGUUUUGAGUUUAUUCACAUGGUAUCAGAGCUUCAGUCGAUUUAUUGGGAGUCUCUCUUUUCCUCUUCUAGCUUCCGCUUACUCUAUCCCCACUAAAGCAUUCAGAUUUUUGAAGUCGUCACUUCACUGCCGUUUCUGAGAACCCGUUGAAGCCAAAUCGUAGUCAAGCUCCAUCCUUUGUGUUUAAAACAGUGAAGUUAUUUUCGGCUUCUAUCUAAAUCAGACAUCUCAUGAUCUGGAAAUUAUGUUCAAGCUCGCUCAGAGAUUAUCAACUCGUCUCCGUCUCUAAAACAUGUCGUCCUCUUCCUGGAGCUUCAAGCAAAGUGGGUCUAAAGAAACAUCACACAAAAGCUUCACGUCAGCAGGGUUGUGGUAACGCGUCGGAGACUAUGGUCAUCUUACUCAGAGCUUGCUUGUAUCAAUGCCAGAUACAACAAAGAAAAGAGAUGGGUUUUGAAAAUUUGGUGAAGCAUUGAGCAAAGCCGUGACAUCACAUCAAAAAAAAAAAAAAAUCAGAGAUCAUGGGCAGAAAAUCCAGCGUGGACUCGAUCCAAGGUAAUUUCUUUGUUCUAAGACAGAACAGAACAUAGAGUAUUGCCUUGUAGUCAUAGUUUGAUAGGACAUUGCUGGUUCGGUGCUUUGUUGGCUGGUUCAGAUGAUGACUAGUAUAGACUAAGUCUGGAAUUAAGAGGUUAGUUGGAACGGUGAUUGAAUAGGCUUGUUUUGGGUUCGAUAAAGAUGGGAUUUAUGGUUGAAAGUUCCUGGUUUGACGGAUGCACACCAGAUGCUUGAUGAAAUGCUAAAGAGAAGUUAUUUUGCUGAAGAUUCAUUGAGAUUGUGGUUUAAUGAAAAACAGUAGUUGGGUUAAGAAGAAGACAUUAAGAGCAAGAUGUGGCUGCAAACGGAUAGAAGAGUGCUUAUGUUGAAGGCUAGCUUGUAGUAAGCAAAAGAAGGAGCAUGGUGUUUGACUCAAAGCUGAGACAUAGUUACAUUACUGUCACCUGAAGCAUGAAGACAGUGGGUGAUUUUCCUUUAGUAAAAUAGAAAGAGAGUACCUCUGAGAGAGUUUGGAAGCUCUACAAGUAUCUACCCUAAGGAAUGGUAAGAAGCACCUCUGAGAAAGUUUAUGAUAAUUCUACAAGUGCAAAAGACACCUCUGAGAGAGUUACGUUAGCUUUACAAGUGCAUACCAAGUUAUGGCCACACAUACCUCUGAGAGAGUUUAUAAAGCUCUACAAGUAUAGGCCAAUAUGAAGUUGUAUAUGGCUUUGAAGAAGAAAAUAUGCUCUGCUCUUAUCAGCUCCAUUCUACCUUCAGUCCACAUGUCCAAGACUUGCUACAGACCUCAUCACCAACUAGUCUUCUACAAGUACACCCAAGUAAUCAGGUUGUGGUUUCAAACUCAGCAGCUUCGUGUUCACCCGCAGCUAAGUUUGCGGGGGAGUAUUAAAGCCCACACCAAGGCCCAUAUUAUGAUCCAAUAUGAAGUGUUUGUUAACAAUGUAACUAGGGUUCCUUAGGACUAUAUAUAUGUUGUUAGAUGGUUAGUGUCUGUAACUUUGGCUGCGUUGAAUGCAGCCUCUCCUUUCAUAUUUAUGAAUCAUUUACAAUCUUAUUUAUCUUGGUGACAAACAUAAAGAUUCUUCCUUUCUUUAGUUUCACUGCACAAUAAAGCUUCUUAAAGCUAUUUUAUUUUCUGUGUCAAUAAGCUUUUACUAGCAGAAUCUAUCUUGUUUUGAGUUUAUUCACAGACUUAUCGGUUUUGGUUAGAACUAUCUGUCGGUUCGAUUCCGUAUGCACAUUUGGGGCUGUAUGAGGUUGUUCAUAUGGUUUUACGUAAAGAUAAUUUUGUAUAAGAAAAGUCACGCUCAGCC